UUGGGUGACCAGCGGAGGGAUCAUUACCGAGUUUACAACUCCCAAACCCAAUGUGAACGUUACCAAACUGUUGCCUCGGCGGGGUCACGCCCCGGGUGCGUCGCAGCCCCGGAACCAGGCGCCCGCCGGAGGAACCAACCAAACUCUUUCUGUAGUCCCCUCGCGGACGUAUUUCUUACAGCUCUGAGCAAAAAUUCAAAAUGAAUCAAAACUUUCAACAACGGAUCUCUUGGUUCUGGCAUCGAUGAAGAACGCAGCGAAAUGCGAUAAGUAAUGUGAAUUGCAGAAUUCAGUGAAUCAUCGAAUCUUUGAACGCACAUUGCGCCCGCCAGUAUUCUGGCGGGCAUGCCUGUCCGAGCGUCAUUUCAACCCUCGAACCCCUCCGGGGGAUCGGCGUUGGGGAUCGGGACCCCUCACACGGGUGCCGGCCCCUAAAUACAGUGGCGGUCUCGCCGCAGCCUCUCCUGCGCAGUAGUUUGCACAACUCGCACCGGGAGCGCGGCGCGUCCACGUCCGUAAAACACCCAACUUUCUGAAAUGUUGACCUCGGAUCAGGUAGGAAUACCCGCUGAACUUAAGCAUAUCAA
This 587-nucleotide ribosomal RNA is filed under the name Trichoderma asperellum. RNAcentral's name for it is "eukaryotic LSU rRNA". The stretch from base 210 to 363 matches the Rfam family "5.8S ribosomal RNA". Lineage: Eukaryota; Fungi; Ascomycota; Sordariomycetes; Hypocreales; Hypocreaceae. The record is from RNAcentral.